UACGUAGGGGGCGAGCGUUGUCCGGAUUUAUUGGGCGUAAAGAGCGUGUAGGCGGCCAGGUAGGUCCGUUGUGAAAACUCGAGGCUCAACCUCGAGACGUCGAUGGAAACCAUCUGGCUAGAGUCCGGAAGAGGAGACUGGAAUUCCUGGUGUAGCGGUGAAAUGCGCAGAUAUCAGGAGGAACACCGAUGGCGAAGGCAGGUCUCUGGGCCACUACUGACGCUGAGAAGCGAAAGCAUGGGGAGCGAACAGG
RNAcentral lists this ribosomal RNA (253 nucleotides) under uncultured bacterium. RNAcentral's name for it is "partial 16S ribosomal RNA". It matches the Rfam family "Bacterial small subunit ribosomal RNA", at positions 524 to 776 of the family's 1533-position model. The record is from RNAcentral.